UACAGAGGGUGCGAGCGUUGUCCGGAAUCACUGGGCGUAAAGGGCGCGUAGGCGGCGCGGGCAGUCAACGGUGAAGGCUCGGAGCUCAACUCCGAGUCGGCCGUCGAUACUCCCGUGCUUGAGCACUGUAGAGGCAGGUGGAAUUCCGGGUGUAGCGGUGGAAUGCGUAGAGAUCCGGAAGAACACCGGUGGCGAAGGCGGCCUGCUGGGCAGUAGCUGACGCUGAGGCGCGACAGCGUGGGGAGCAAACAGG
Molecule: ribosomal RNA, 253 nt
Filed under: uncultured bacterium
Lineage: Bacteria
Description: partial 16S ribosomal RNA
Rfam family: Bacterial small subunit ribosomal RNA
Source: RNAcentral